AUGGAGCCACAAAGAUCCAUCAACAUGACGGCUGCGAUGGAGGCUCUCUCCCCCUUCUUGAAUAAGCCACGGAGGAUCAUCAUCCAGGUGGAGGCGUUCACGUCAGGGAUCGUAUUGCUGCUCCUCCUGCAGCUCAUCCUUGGGUCCUUGAGGCGGCAGUCGACCAACUUCUUGGUUCAAGCUGGACUCAUAGGUAGAGAAUUUGCAUGCGUAUUGGUUGAGGUUGGCUAUUUCAUUGCCAGAGGAGUUGCCAAGUUCAUGAAGAACCUGCCUGCUGAUGAUGGUGAUGGGUUCGAUCCUGCCACCAUGAAAGGCUACAAGUACCCUGUUCAAAUUUAUGGACUUUGGGGUCGUGUCACCAUCGACCAGAUCUGGCACUGUGAAGGCAGGCUCCUCCGCUCAGGUACUGUUCACUGCAAGGAGCUCAAGGACUUGUGUCUGGCUAAAGCCAUGUAUGAGCUAUUGAAGCGGCGCUACUAUGGGUUGUCAUUCGCCGAGGAACACCUUGAUGAAACCCGUGAUUUUGUCUUCAAGGGAUUACUACAAAAUCAGGAUGACUAUGAGAGACCUUUCCGGAUUGUUGAAAUGGAGUUGGGGUUCUGCCAUGACUACUUCUUUACAAAACAUGCUAUCAUCUUUGAACUUGAGGGAGUAUUCUUCUUUCUCUUCCUUGUGAGGAUUGCUCUUGUUGCCACAUGUGUAUCCUUUGUCGUGCAGAGUACACUAUCUGUCAAGACACUUAAAGCUGUCAUUGAAGUGCACAGCAAAAGGGCUGACGAGAUCAUCACUCUCCUUGUUUUGGCCACAUUCCUUCUCACUGAACUUCUUCAAGCUGCAUUCUAUCUGGCCUCGGAUUGGUGCAAGGUGUCAGUUACUUGUAUCUAUCUCAAAAUAUCUUGUUAUCAACACAAUGCUUUCAUUGAGAAGUUUAUCUGCUAUAUUAGCAGAUUCAAAAUAUUUGGGUACUGGAAGAAUAAGAUUGGUCAGUACUCGAUUAUUCCACACAUUACCGCCGCUGAUUCGUCUGGGGACUGUUACCCAGUGAACAAGUUGCAGACAGUAAAGCGGGCUAUUGCUAGGUCCCUAAUAUCAUGCGCCGGUCCACCAACUAAUGGAGAAGGGUCAUUACAGAGGAACGGUGUGCUUGCAGAGUUUUCUUGGGCAUUGCAUGGUCAUUCACAAGCAGAGAUCAUGUUAAUUUGGAACAUCGCCACUGAUUACUGCAAUAUGAUUCCCCCUACUGGAGACGGGGAGCAACUGAAUGGGACAUCUGAAAAUGAACAAGACACAAAGUUCAACAAGAAUGUUUCAGUCAGCCUAUCAAGAUAUUGUGCAUACUUGAUGAAGUCUGCACCAGAAUUGCUUCCAGGAUACUUCGGAGAUACAAAGCUGGCCAUGGUUGAUGUAGAACGCAAAGCAUACGAAGUUCUAGGAUCCCGGAAUGUUGGACUUGGUUUAAAAUGGUGGAAUGUUUUUUCCCUUUUGGUAAACGGGUUUCUACCCCUGGCCUCUGGAUCUAUUGAUGCAUCCCAGAAUAUUCACCAGGCUAUGAAUGGUUUACAAGACCAAGUGGAAGACAGGAGCAUCUUCAUGAGAGGUGUGAAGCUUGGAAAGCAGCUAGAGCGCAAUCCGAGCAGUGCUCUUCGCUGGAAGAUACUUGCGGAUUUCUGGGCUGAGAAGAUCCUCUACAUCGCACCAUCUGAUAAUGUGAAAGGGCACAUGGAACUUCUCGCAAAGGGAGGAGAGUUUCUCACCCACAUCUGGGUCCUCCUUACUCAUGCUGGCAUCCUCAAGAUUAACAGGGAGGAAGGUAACAACACCAUGCCCAUGCGCCAACCAUCCCAAGGAGAUGUGUAG
This 1857-nucleotide ribosomal RNA is filed under the name Triticum aestivum (bread wheat). Its description in RNAcentral is "partial small subunit ribosomal RNA". The record is from RNAcentral. Lineage: Eukaryota; Viridiplantae; Streptophyta; Magnoliopsida; Poales; Poaceae.